GAGGGACUUCGUUCCGUUCGGGCCCGGUUCGGGAUAGGGGGGGUCGCAGCGCCGCUCGGCUGUCGGGGUUCCGUCGCGGUGCUGCGAAAGGGGUUUGGGCGCAGCCGCUCCGACGCCGAUCGUUGGACGUAACCACCGGCCACAUUCAGGUGCACGGCGUAUGCACGGGGAAAGCCUUUCCGAAAUCCUUCCCGUGAGCAACACGAUGGAAAGCUGCAGAUUUGGGGCAGUCGCUCUUUGCCGUGCGUUCCCAGGGAAAAGCUAUUGGGAUGUUUGUUUUGUUUCCCUUCGUUCCUCUUUGAGUGUUUGCAUUUGGGGGGUUUGUUCGUUUGUUUCCGGACUGCGAAACGGGAUCCGGUGAUGGCACCCCGGGGAGAAGGAGCCGCCGUAGGGGAGGCGUGAAAUGCACUAUAGGGUUUCACCUAUCCCCUGCGCGCGGUGUGUGCCCCGUUUCAAUAGCGGAUGGGCUGCUUCGUCGGGGAAGGGCUGAGUACUAAACGCACUCAGAGAUGAGUUACCCCACGUAGCGUUACCGGCGAUUAAAUUGUUUACAUCUCUUUCGAAGCGCGAGGGAGUGUCAGGUCGAUAAUCGAUUAAAGGAAAAACAAAACAAAACAAAACCAAAAACAGCCACCACGGUGGAAGGGUUGUGCCCUACACCCCGAUAAAAUCCCGCUGCGGAUCGGUGGGGCUGCGGAGAGCUCCCGGUGCCGCGGGGUUCUCUCUCUGCGUUCUCCGUCCGGGACGCAAUCACCGCACCGCGGGCUGAAGCCCGUCUGAGCUGCCGGGCCCCGCCGCAACCGAAUCCGAAGGAAAUCACAUGUGCUAGAGGGGUCGGAGCGUGUUAAGCUCGAGGAUCCCGCAGGAGCUGAACCGCCCUCGCGCUGGGGCUGGGAUCGAUAGUGGGAGGUAGGAAGGAAAUGGCUCCGGGCUGCCCCAGGGCGCUCCGCGAGCCGCCCGCCCGUCCAGCUCCGACGGCGCCUUCCGCGGCUCCGCUCCUCCGCUGCUGCAGCACCGGCGGGGCCAGUGGAGCAGUGGAAAGUGCACAAAAUAGUGGAAUCCUCUCUUUCCAACAGGUUUCAAAUAGAAGGAGAUUUCUAUGUGCUCAUCCCAUCCCCCGCAUGAAAUCAGUAGUCUUGAGCAGUUCCAGAAUCCUUUUCUGA
Molecule: long non-coding RNA, 1163 nt
Filed under: Meleagris gallopavo (turkey)
Lineage: Eukaryota; Metazoa; Chordata; Aves; Galliformes; Phasianidae
Description: lncRNA (ENSMGAG00000020949.1)
Source: RNAcentral